Molecule: ribosomal RNA, 502 nt
Filed under: uncultured bacterium
Lineage: Bacteria
Description: bacterial SSU rRNA
Rfam family: Bacterial small subunit ribosomal RNA
Source: RNAcentral
UUGAACGCUGGCGGCAUGCCUAAUACAUGCAAGUCGAACGGUAACAGGACGCUGUGAUCCCUUCGGGGUGAACUUGUCGCUGACGAGUGGCGGACGGGUGAGUAAUGCUUGGGAAUCUGCCCAGUAGUGGGGGACAACACGGGGAAACUCGUGCUAAUACCGCAUACGUCCUACGGGAGAAAGUGGGGGAUCUUCGGACCUCACGCUAUUGGAUGAGCCCAAGUCGGAUUAGCUUGUUGGUAGGGUAACGGCCUACCAAGGCGACGAUCCGUAGCUGGUCUGAGAGGACGAUCAGCCACACUGGGACUGAGACACGGCCCAGACUCCUACGGGAGGCAGCAGUAGGGAAUAUUGGACAAUGGGGGCAAGCCUGAUCCAGCAAUGCCGCGUGUGUGAAGAAGGCCUGCGGGUUGUAAAGCACUUUCAGUAGAGAAGAAAAGCCUAGGGAUAAUACCCCUGAGUCUUGACGUAACCUACAGAAGAAGCACCGGCUAACUCCGUG